UGGGGAAUUUUGGACAAUGGGCGAAAGCCUGAUCCAGCAAUGCCGCGUGUGUGAAGAAGGCCUUCGGGUUGUAAAGCACUUUUGUCCGGAAAGAAAUCCUUGGCUCUAAUACAGUCGGGGGAUGACGGUACCGGAGGAAUAAGCACCGGCUAACUACGUGCCAGCAGCCGCGGUAAUACGUAGGGUGCAAGCGUUAAUCGGAAUUACUGGGCGUAAAGCGUGCGCAGGCGGUUUGCUAAGACCGAUGUGAAAUCCCCGGGCUCAACCUGGGAACUGCAUUGGUGACUGGCAGGCUAGAGUAUGGCAGAGGGGGGUAGAAUUCCACGUGUAGCAGUGAAAUGCGUAGAGAUGUGGAGGAAUACCGAUGGCGAAGGCAGCCCCCUGGGCCAAUACUGACGCUCAUGCACGAAAGCGUGGGGAGCAAACAGGAUUAGAUACCCUGGUAGUCCACGCCCUAAAACGAUGUCAACUAGUUGUUGGGGAUUCAUUUCCUUAGUAACGUAGCUAACGCGUGAAGUUGACCGCCUGGGGAGUACGGUCGCAAGAUUAAAACUCAAAUGAAUUGACGGGGUCAUAGCUG
Molecule: ribosomal RNA, 580 nt
Filed under: uncultured bacterium
Lineage: Bacteria
Description: partial 16S ribosomal RNA
Rfam family: Bacterial small subunit ribosomal RNA
Source: RNAcentral